UACUCUGUCGUGGGGGAUAACGUAGGGAAACUUACGCUAAUACCGCAUACGACCUACGGGUGAAAGCAGGGGAUCUUCGGACCUUGCGCGAUUGAAUGAGCCGAUGUCGGAUUAGCUAGUUGGCGGGGUAAAGGCCCACCAAGGCGACGAUCCGUAGCUGGUCUGAGAGGAUGAUCAGCCACACUGGAACUGAGACACGGUCCAGACUCCUACGGGAGGCAGCAGUGGGGAAUAUUGGACAAUGGGCGCAAGCCUGAUCCAGCCAUACCGCGUGGGUGAAGAAGGCCUUCGGGUUGUAAAGCCCUUUUGUUGGGAAAGAAAUCCAGCCGGCUAAUACCUGGUUGGGAUGACGGUACCCAAAGAAUAAGCACCGGCUAACUUCGUGCCAGCAGCCGCGGUAAUACGAAGGGUGCAAGCGUUACUCGGAAUUACUGGGCGUAAAGCGUGCGUAGGUGGUCGUUUAAGUCCGUUGUGAAAGCCCUGGGCUCAACCUGG
This 495-nucleotide ribosomal RNA is filed under the name Stenotrophomonas maltophilia. RNAcentral describes it as "bacterial SSU rRNA". It matches the Rfam family "Bacterial small subunit ribosomal RNA", at positions 127 to 617 of the family's 1533-position model. Lineage: Bacteria; Pseudomonadati; Pseudomonadota; Gammaproteobacteria; Lysobacterales; Lysobacteraceae. The record is from RNAcentral.